Molecule: ribosomal RNA, 910 nt
Filed under: Spiromastigoides warcupii
Lineage: Eukaryota; Fungi; Ascomycota; Eurotiomycetes; Onygenales; Spiromastigoidaceae
Description: LSU rRNA
Rfam family: Eukaryotic large subunit ribosomal RNA
Source: RNAcentral
UAGCAUAUCAAUAAGCGGAGGAAAAGAAACCAACAGGGAUUGCCUCAGUAACGGCGAGUGAAGCGGCAAGAGCUCAAAUUUGAAAUCUGGCUCCUUCGGGGCCCGAGUUGUAAUUUGCAGAGGAUGCUUCGGGGGUGGUCGCCGCCUAAGUCCCCUGGAACGGGGCGUCAGAGAGGGUGAGAAUCCCGUCUUUGGUGGGCUGAUCGCUCCCGGGUGAAGCUCCUUCGACGAGUCGAGUUGUUUGGGAAUGCAGCUCUAAGCGGGUGGUAAAUUUCAUCUAAAGCUAAAUAUUGGCUGGAGACCGAUAGCGCACAAGUAGAGUGAUCGAAAGACGAAAAGUACUUUGAAAAGAGAGUUAAACAGCACGUGAAAUUGUUGAAAGGGAAGCGCUGGCCGCCAGAUUCGGCCUUGGGGGCUCACUGAGCAUGCUUGCUUAGGCACUCCCUCAGGGUCGGGUCAGCAUCGGUUCAGGCGGUCGGUCAAAGGCCCUCGGAAUGUGUCGCCUCUCGGGGCGUCUUAUAGCCGAGGGUGCAAUGCGGCCUGCCCGGAUCGAGGAACGCGCUUCGGCACGGAUGCUGGCAUAAUGGCGGUCAGCGGCCCGUCUUGAAACACGGACCAAGGAGUCUAACAUCCACGCGAGUGUUCGGGUGUCAAACCCGUCCGCGCAGUGAAAGCGAACGGAGGUGAGAGCCCCUGAGGGUGCAUCAUCGACCGAUCCUGAAGUCUUCGGAUGGAUUUGAGUAGGAGCGUGGCUGUGGGGACCCGAAAGAUGGUGAACUAUGCCUGAAUAGGGUGAAGCCAGAGGAAACUCUGGUGGAGGCUCGCAGCGGUUCUGACGUGCAAAUCGAUCGUCAAAUUUGGGUAUAGGGGCGAAAGACUAAUCGAACCAUCUGGUAGCUGGUUCCUGUCG